RNAcentral lists this ribosomal RNA (492 nucleotides) under Klebsiella milletis. RNAcentral describes it as "bacterial SSU rRNA". It matches the Rfam family "Bacterial small subunit ribosomal RNA", at positions 8 to 491 of the family's 1533-position model. The record is from RNAcentral. Lineage: Bacteria; Pseudomonadati; Pseudomonadota; Gammaproteobacteria; Enterobacterales; Enterobacteriaceae.
AGAGUUUGAUCCUGGCUCAGAUUGAACGCUGGCGGCAGGCCUAACACAUGCAAGUCGAGCGGUAGCACAGAGAGCUUGCUCUCGGGUGACGAGCGGCGGACGGGUGAGUAAUGUCUGGGAAACUGCCUGAUGGAGGGGGAUAACUACUGGAAACGGUAGCUAAUACCGCAUAAUGUCGCAAGACCAAAGUGGGGGACCUUCGGGCCUCAUGCCAUCAGAUGUGCCCAGAUGGGAUUAGCUAGUAGGUGGGGUAACGGCUCACCUAGGCGACGAUCCCUAGCUGGUCUGAGAGGAUGACCAGCCACACUGGAACUGAGACACGGUCCAGACUCCUACGGGAGGCAGCAGUGGGGAAUAUUGCACAAUGGGCGCAAGCCUGAUGCAGCCAUGCCGCGUGUGUGAAGAAGGCCUUCGGGUUGUAAAGCACUUUCAGCGGGGAGGAAGGCGUUAAGGUUAAUAACCUUGGCGAUUGACGUUACCCGCAGAAGAAGC